UGGGGAUUUUGGGAAUGAAAAAUGGGGAUUUGGGGGAAAAAUGGGGAUUUUUAUAAUGGAAAAUGGGGAUUUGGGAAAUAAAAAUGGGGAUUUUUGAGAAUGAAAAAUGGGGAUUUGGGGGCAAAAAUUUGGAUUUUGAGUAUCAGAAAUGUAUAUUUUGGGUUAAAAAUGGGGAUUUUGAGAGUGUAAAAAUCUGCAAUUUUGGGCAAAACUGACAGAAAAUGUAAAAACAGCCCCGAAAAUGAGAGAUUUUCCCCCAAAAUUGAGGCGUUAUCAUAGGGCUCCCAAAAAUCACCGUUUUCAACCCAAAAUGUGAACGGGGACAGAAAAAAAAGGAGGAAAAAGAGAAAAAAAGAGAAAAAAGGAGAAAAAAAGAGAAAAAAAGAGAAAAAAAGAGAAAAAAAGGAGAAAAAAAGGAGAAAAAAAAAAGGUUAAAAAGGGAGAAAAAAAGGAAAGAAAGAGAAGAAAAAGG
RNAcentral lists this long non-coding RNA (472 nucleotides) under Phasianus colchicus (ring-necked pheasant). Its description in RNAcentral is "lncRNA (ENSPCLG00000002068.1)". The record is from RNAcentral. Lineage: Eukaryota; Metazoa; Chordata; Aves; Galliformes; Phasianidae.